AACGAACGCUGGCGGCAUGCCUAACACAUGCAAGUCGAACGAUGCCUUCGGGUCUAGUGGCGCACGGGUGCGUCACGCGUGGGAACCUUCCCUUAGGUUCGGAAUAACUCCCCGAAAGGGGUGCUAAUACCGGAUAAUGUCUUCGGACCAAAGAUUUAUCGCCUUUGGAUGGGCCCGCGUUGGAUUAGCUAGUUGGUAGGGUAAAAGCCUACCAAGGCGACGAUCCAUAGCUGGUCUGAGAGGAUGAUCAGCCACACUGGGACUGGGACACGGCCCAGACUCCUACGGGAGGAAGCAGGGGGGAAUAUUGGACAAUGGGCGAAAGCCGGAUCCAGCAAUGCCGCGUGAGUGAUGAAGGACUGAGGGUUGUAAAGCUCUUUUACCCGGGAUGAUAAUGACAGUACCGGGAGAAUAAGCGCCGGCUAACUCCGUG
This 433-nucleotide ribosomal RNA is filed under the name uncultured bacterium. RNAcentral's name for it is "partial 16S ribosomal RNA". It matches the Rfam family "Bacterial small subunit ribosomal RNA", at positions 29 to 507 of the family's 1533-position model. The record is from RNAcentral.